CAGAGGGUAGUUUAAGUAGAAUUA
This 24-nucleotide transfer RNA is filed under the name Oryctolagus cuniculus (rabbit). Its description in RNAcentral is "partial transfer RNA-Pro". Lineage: Eukaryota; Metazoa; Chordata; Mammalia; Lagomorpha; Leporidae. The record is from RNAcentral.